UUUUUUCUGCUCGGCUGCGGCUGGUGCUGCACCACCACCAGCAGCACCACCGGCCGGGGCGGCAACGGCGACUGCACCGCCACCAGAUGGCACUGACGCCAACUUCUCCCGUCCGGAGGCUAUCAACUCUGUGAUAUCCUUUCCUUUCACUUCGGAUAGUAGCAAGCCAAUCCUGUCGUCAUCCACCUCAGCCCCAACUGAAUUAAGAAUAGACUUCACAUCAUCGAGUCCGGGGUUGGUGUUGCCACCGAGAACGGCCAACAAAUAUGCAGCGACGACCUUCAUCUUUGGGAAAGUUCAAAACAGAAGCUGCAACGAA
Molecule: unclassified non-coding RNA, 319 nt
Filed under: Hevea brasiliensis (rubber tree)
Lineage: Eukaryota; Viridiplantae; Streptophyta; Magnoliopsida; Malpighiales; Euphorbiaceae
Source: RNAcentral